Molecule: non-coding RNA, 546 nt
Organism: Rattus norvegicus (Norway rat)
Lineage: Eukaryota; Metazoa; Chordata; Mammalia; Rodentia; Muridae
Source: RefSeq, a predicted model, not a curated record
CAUGCCUCGGGCUAUUUUCCUCCCGACAUGCCUCAGGCUACUUUCCUGGGGCUUAUUAUUUCCCUUCGGGAAAUAGGACUUACUCUCAUUUUCUGUUAAGGUGUUUCUCGGAGGCUAAGUGAAAUUUUAGAGACCUAGGGUCUGGCUGCUGUGGCUGUGUGAAUGAAGUUGCAUCUGUGGCUCCCCCACCCCAUGCACAACUUGAUCAUUCAGCUAGGACUUGGAGUCCCUGGAACAGACCCCUGUUUCUGUUGAUUAGACCAGGAGUGGCCUGGAUUAGAGCGGGAUUAGCCCUGACCUGCUCAGUUCCUCCUUCAAAUCAACUCGCACAUGAAGAUGAGCUGUUCUGGUGCUCCAUUGGCCUGGACCAAAAGUCUCAAGAUGUUCCCUCAUUCUCCGAGGUGCCCUCCAUCAGCCCUGCAUUGACUCAUUGGUUCUCAAUCUCAUCCUCUGUCUCCCUCUUUCUUACCUUCUUCUUCAUUUUGAUAUUAACAUCUGUAUAUUAGUAAUUAAAGAGCUCACAGUGUAGGUGACAGAGGAGGCCUG